AGGCCUAUCAAACCCGGAGAUAUCUCGUUCUCCCCGAAAUAGCUUUAGGGCUAGCCUCGGUCGUUCUCCCUCGGGGGUAGAGCACCGGACGGGCGCGGGGGCCUCACCGCCUACCAAACCCGACCGAACUCCGAAUACCGACGGGAUCACAGGCCGGGAGUCAGAACAUGUGGGCUAAGCUGUGUGUUCGAGAGGGAAACAGCCCAGACCGCCCGCUAAGGCCCCCAAUUCCAUGUUGAGUGGCAAAGGAUGUGCGUCCGCACAGACAACCAGGAUGUUGGCUUAGAAGCAGCCACCCAUUCAAAGAGUGCGUAAUAGCUCACUGGUCGAGUGGACAUGCGCCGACAAUAUACGGGGCUAAGCAUGGAGCCGAAGCGGCGGGACGGCCCGAUGGGCCGUCGGUAGGGGAGCUUUCCGUGCGCGGCGAAGCGUCGGGACGACCCGGCGUGGAGCGCCCGGAAGUGAGAAUGCUGGCAUGAGUAGCGAGAGACUGGCGGGAAACCAGUCCGCCGUGAACCCAAGGUUUCCUGGGCGAGGCUAAUCCUCCCAGGGUCAGUCGGGAGCUAAGGCGAGGGCGGCAGCCGUAGCCGAUGCACAGCCGGUCGACAUUCCGGCACCCCCGACGGGCGCUAACACCGAUGGGGCGACGCAGGAGGGUAGCCGGACGGGGUUCUGGACGUCCCCGCGAUGGCCCGUAGGGCGGCUCCCCGUGAAACGCGGGAGCCACGAAGCCUGAGGGGCCGGACGAAGCCUUAUGGCGAAGCCGGUGAGCCCAAGCUGCCUAGAAAAACCCCUAGGGAGCCCGAAGGGGCCCGUACCGCAAACCGACACAGGUGGGUGGGUAGAGCAUACCGAGGCGAUCGGGAGAACCAUGGUUAAGGAACUCGGCAAAAUAGCCCCGUAACUUCGGGAGAAGGGGCGCCGCGGAGGGUGAAGGGGCCUGCCCCCGGAGCCUUCCCCGGCCGCAGUGGAUUGGUCCAAGCGACUGUUUACCAAAAACACAGGACUCUGCUGAAGUCGCAAGACGACGUAUAGGGUCUGACGCCUGCCCGGUGCCGGAAGGUCACGAGGAGCGGUCAGCGAGAGCGAAGCCGCGAAUCCAAGCCCCGGUAAACGGCGGCCGUAACUAUAACGGUCCUAAGGUAGCGAAAUUCCUUGUCGGGUAAGUUCCGACCUGCACGAAAGGCGCAACGACUUGGGCGCUGUCUCGACCAUGGACCCGGUGAAAUUGCACUAGUCGUGAAGAUGCGACUUACCCGCGGAAGGACGGAAAGACCCCGUGAACCUUUACUGCAGCUUGGCAUUGGCUGCCGGGGCGCCGUGUAGAGGAUAGGUGGGAGACCGUGAUGCGGGGGCGCCAGCCCCCGCGGAGUCGCCCUUGGAAUACCACCCUCGGCGCCUUGGCAUCCUAACCUGCGGCCGUGACCCGGCGCAGGGACCGUGCCAGGUGGGUAGUUUGACUGGGGCGGUCGCCUCCCAAAGAGUAACGGAGGCGCACGUAAGGUCUGCUCGUCGCGGUCGGCAACCGCGAUCAUGAGUGCAAGAGCAUAAGCAGGCUUGACUGCGAGGCCCACAAGCCGAGCAGGUGGGAAACCAGGUUCUAGUGAUCCGGCGGCACAGAGUGGUAUGGCCGUCGCUCAACGGAUAAAAGGUACUCCGGGGAUAACAGGCUGAUCUUCCCCAAGAGUCCACAUCGACGGGAAGGUUUGGCACCUCGAUGUCGGCUCAUCGCAUCCUGGGGCUGGAGCAGGUCCCA
Molecule: ribosomal RNA, 1756 nt
Filed under: human gut metagenome
Description: bacterial LSU rRNA
Rfam family: Bacterial large subunit ribosomal RNA
Source: RNAcentral